CCUACGGGAGGCAGCAGUGAGGAAUAUUGGUCAAUGGGCGUGAGCCUGAACCAGCCAAGUAGCGUGAAGGAUGACUGCUCUACGGGUCGUAAACUUCUUUUAUAAGGGAAUAAAGUGCGGCACGUGUGCCGUUUUGUAUGUACCUUAUGAAUAAGGAUCGGCUAACUCCGUGCAAGAAGCCGCGGUAAUACGGAGGAUCCGAGCGUUAUCCGGAUUUAUUGGGUUUAAAGGGUGCGUAGGUGGGUUUUUAAGUCAGUUGUGAAAGUUUGUGGCUCAACCGUAGAAUUGCCAUUGAAACUGGGAGGCUUGAGUAUGGUUGAGGUAGGCGGAAUGCGUGGUGUAGCGGUGAAAUGCUUAGAUAACACGAAGAACUCCGAUUGCGAAGGCAGCCUACUAAGCCACGACUGACGUUGAUGCACGAAAGUGUGGGUAUCAAACAGGAUUAGAUACCCGAGUAGUC
RNAcentral lists this ribosomal RNA (460 nucleotides) under uncultured bacterium. RNAcentral describes it as "partial 16S ribosomal RNA". It matches the Rfam family "Bacterial small subunit ribosomal RNA", at positions 338 to 795 of the family's 1533-position model. The record is from RNAcentral.